Molecule: ribosomal RNA, 531 nt
Filed under: Crocidura roosevelti
Lineage: Eukaryota; Metazoa; Chordata; Mammalia; Eulipotyphla; Soricidae
Description: partial 16S ribosomal RNA
Rfam family: Bacterial large subunit ribosomal RNA
Source: RNAcentral
CCUUAGCAUUACUAGUAUUAGAGGCACUGCCUGCCCAGUGACAAUUAGUUUAACGGCCGCGGUAUCCUGACCGUGCAAAGGUAGCAUAAUCAUUUGUUCCUUAAUUAGGGACUUGUAUGAAUGGCCCCACGAGGGUUUAACUGUCUCUUACUUCUAAUCAGUGAAAUUGACCUUCCCGUGAAGAGGCGGGAAUAUAAAAAUAAGACGAGAAGACCCUAUGGAGCUUAAAUUAACGUGUCCAACAAAACUUAAUAUUAACCCAACAGGAAUAAUUACAUUUUAACUGGACAAUAAAUUUUGGUUGGGGUGACCUCGGAGUAUAAUCAAACCUCCGAGCGAUUUAACCAAGACUAACCCGUCAAGGUUAUAUAACUUAUUGAUCCAAUCAUAUUGAUCAACGAAACAAGUUACCCUAGGGAUAACAGCGCAAUCCUAUUUAAGAGUUCAUAUCGACAAUAGGGUUUACGACCUCGAUGUUGGAUCAGGACACCCAAAUGGUGCAGCAGCUAUUAAAGGUUCGUUUGUUCAACG